Molecule: ribosomal RNA, 384 nt
Filed under: uncultured bacterium
Lineage: Bacteria
Description: bacterial SSU rRNA
Rfam family: Bacterial small subunit ribosomal RNA
Source: RNAcentral
GACGAACGCUGGCGGCGUGCUUAACACAUGCAAGUCGAGCGGAAAGGCCCUUCGGGGUACUCGAGCGGCGAACGGGUGAGUAACACGUGAGUAACCUGCCCUGGACUUUGGGAUAACCCUCGGAAACGGGGGCUAAUACCGGAUAUGACCUGUCACUGCAUGGUGGUGGGUGGAAAGUUUUUCGGUCUGGGAUGGGCUCGCGGCCUAUCAGCUUGUUGGUGGGUGAUGGCCUACCAAGGCGACGACGGGUAGCCGGCCUGAGAGGGCGACCGGCCACACUGGGACUGAGACACGGCCCAGACUCCUACGGGAGGCAGCAGUGGGGAAUUUUGGACAAUGGGGGCAACCCUGAUCCAGCCAUGCCGCGUGCGGGAAGAAGGCCUU